UACGGGGGGGGCAAGCGUUGUUCGGAAUUACUGGGCGUAAAGGGCUCGUAGGCGGCCAACUAAGUCGGAUGUGAAAUCCCCAGGCUUAACCUGGGAACUGCAUCCGAUACUGGAUGGCUUGAAUCCGGGAGAGGGAUGCGGAAUUCCAGGUGUAGCGGUGAAAUGCGUAGAUAUCAAGCGGAACACCGGUGGCGAAGGCGGCCUUCUGGACAGUGACUGACGCUGAGACGCGAAAGCGUGGGGAGCAAACAGG
Molecule: ribosomal RNA, 253 nt
Filed under: uncultured bacterium
Lineage: Bacteria
Description: partial 16S ribosomal RNA
Rfam family: Bacterial small subunit ribosomal RNA
Source: RNAcentral